UCUUCGUUGCAAAUUGUGAUU
RNAcentral lists this non-coding RNA (21 nucleotides) under Caenorhabditis elegans. The record is from RNAcentral. Lineage: Eukaryota; Metazoa; Nematoda; Chromadorea; Rhabditida; Rhabditidae.